This 481-nucleotide ribosomal RNA is filed under the name uncultured bacterium. RNAcentral's name for it is "partial 16S ribosomal RNA". It matches the Rfam family "Bacterial small subunit ribosomal RNA", at positions 28 to 523 of the family's 1533-position model. The record is from RNAcentral.
GACGAACGCUGGCGGCGUGCUUAACACAUGCAAGUCGAGCGGAAAGGCCACUUCGGUGGUACUCGAGCGGCGAACGGGUGAGUAACACGUGAGUAAUCUGCCCCUGGCUUUGGGAUAGCCACCGGAAACGGUGAUUAAUACCGGAUACGACCACUUCUCGCAUGGGAUGGUGGUGGAAAGUUUUUUCGGCCAGGGAUGUGCUCGCGGCCUAUCAGCUUGAUGGUGAGGUAAUGGCUUACCAUGGCUCCGACGGGUAGCCGGCCUGAGAGGGUGACCGGUCAAACGGGGACUGAGACACGGCCAGGACUCCUACGGGAGGCAGCAGUGGGGAAUAUUGGACAAUGGGCGGAAGCCUGAUCCAGCAACGCCGCGUGAGGGAUGACGGCCUUCGGGUUGUAAACCUCUUUCAGCAGGGACGAAGCGCAAGUGACGGUACCUGCAGAAGAAGCACCGGCCAACUACGUGCCAGCAGCCGCCGUAA